GACGAACGCUGGCGGCGUGCUUAACACAUGCAAGUCGAACGGAAAGGCCCUGCUUUCUUGGUGUUCUCGAUUGGCGAACGGGUGAGUAACACGUGAGUAACCUGCUCUUGACUUUGGUAUAACUUCAGGAAACUGGGGCUAAUACCGUAUAGCAUCUCCUCCUGCAUUGUGGGGGUUGGAAAUUUUCGGCGGUUGGGGAUGGACUCGCGGCUUAUCAGCUUGUUGGUUGGGUAGUGGCUUACCAAGGCUUUGACGGGUAGCCGGCCUGAGAGGGUGACCGGCCACAUUGGGACUGAGAUACGGACCAGACUCCUACGGGAGGCAGCAGUGGGGAAUAUUGCACAAUGGGCGGAAGCCUGAUGAAGCAACGCCGCGUGCGGGAUGACGGCCUUCGGGUUGUAAACCGCUUUCGCCUGUGACGAAGCGUGAGUGACGGUAAUGGGUAAAGAAGCACCGGCUAACUACGUG
RNAcentral lists this ribosomal RNA (468 nucleotides) under uncultured bacterium. RNAcentral's name for it is "partial 16S ribosomal RNA". It matches the Rfam family "Bacterial small subunit ribosomal RNA", at positions 28 to 507 of the family's 1533-position model. The record is from RNAcentral.